RNAcentral lists this ribosomal RNA (509 nucleotides) under uncultured Glomus. Its description in RNAcentral is "SSU rRNA". It matches the Rfam family "Eukaryotic small subunit ribosomal RNA", at positions 569 to 1084 of the family's 1831-position model. The record is from RNAcentral. Lineage: Eukaryota; Fungi; Glomeromycota; Glomeromycetes; Glomerales; Glomeraceae.
AGCAGCCGCGGUAAUUCCAGCUCCAAUAGCGUAUAUUAAAGUUGUUGCAGUUAAAAAGCUCGUAGUUGAAUUUCGGGGUCAGUAGAUUGGUCGUGCCACUGGUAUGCACUGGUCUUACUGGCUCCUCCUUCCUGAUGAACCGUAAUGCCAUUAAUUUGGUGUUGCGGGGAGACUGGACUGUUACUUUGAAAAAAUUAGAGUGUUUAAAGCAGGCUAACGCUUGAAUACAUUAGCAUGGAAUAAUGAAAUAGGACGUUCGAUCUUGUUUUGUUGGUUUCUAAGAUUGACGUAAUGAUUAAUAGGGAUAGUUGGUGGCAUUAGUAUUCAAUUGUCAGAGGUGAAAUUCUUGGAUUUAUUGAAGACUAACUACUGCGAAAGCAUUUGCCAAGGAUGUUUUCAUUAAUCAAGAACGAAAGUUAGAGGUUCGAAGGCGAUCAGAUACCGCCUAGUUCUAACCAUAAACGAUGCCAACCAGCGAUUAGCCUGAGUUCCUAAAUGACUCGGCUAGC